UACGGGGGGGGCAAGCGUUGUUCGGAAUUACUGGGCGUAAAGGGCGCGUAGGCGGCCUUCUAAGUCAGACGUGAAAUCCCCCGGCUUAACCUGGGAACUGCGUCUGAUACUGGGAGGCUAGAGUAUGGGAGAGGGAUGUAGAAUUCCAGGUGUAGCGGUGAAAUGCGUAGAUAUCUGGAGGAAUACCGGUGGCGAAGGCGGCAUCCUGGACCGGCAUUGACGCUGAGGAGCGAAAGCCAGGGGAGCAAACGGG
This 253-nucleotide ribosomal RNA is filed under the name uncultured bacterium. RNAcentral describes it as "partial 16S ribosomal RNA". It matches the Rfam family "Bacterial small subunit ribosomal RNA", at positions 524 to 776 of the family's 1533-position model. The record is from RNAcentral.